CCAGCCGUAAACUGAUAGCCAAAUCAACAAGCUGUCCGCCAGAGGAUUACCAGCGAAAAGCUAAAAACUCGAAGGACUUGACGGUGUCCCACAUCAACCUAGAGGAGCCUGUCCUAAAAUCGAUAAUCCACGCUUCACCCUACCUGCUCUUGCCCGACAGUCUAUAUACCGCCGUCUUCAGCCUACCUAGUGAUAGCCCCUAAGUAGACACCAUCGCCAACCCACACACACGACAGGUCAAGGUGUAACUAAUGAGCAGGCAGAGAUGGGCUACAUUUUCUUUUACCAAGAAAAAACCAAACCCGCCAUGCAAACCGCGCCAACAAGCAGGAUUUAGCAGUAAGCCUGAUAUAAACCAUGCCAGACUGAACCAUGCUCUGGGACG
Molecule: ribosomal RNA, 385 nt
Filed under: Stenodactylus affinis (Iranian short-fingered gecko)
Lineage: Eukaryota; Metazoa; Chordata; Lepidosauria; Squamata; Gekkonidae
Description: partial 12S ribosomal RNA
Rfam family: Bacterial small subunit ribosomal RNA
Source: RNAcentral